CUUAGACAAGUUUCGCCAGGUUUGGGAAGUGUUAGAAGACGGAAGAUCUGAAAAUGCAUAGAAUCUCAGUUCUGACAUGAGAGAAAAGGCAUGUUACCCAUCUCAUCACUGACAGAUGUAAGACUGAACAAGACAGAGGCAAACCCACUAAAGGAUUUCGAUGUGGAAAAAAACAUGUGACUAGCAGAGGGGAAACAUGAAUCUCCCGUGAGUGCCAAGAAUCCGCAUCUGCAACCAUCAGCACAGCCUGGAAAUCAGCUCUGCCUGCUUCUUUAAAGAGUUCUGGAAUUAUAAGCAUCUCAUACAGAAAUAAAUGCAGAGACAUUUUAAAAGGAGAGUACUGGGAAUGUCGGUGUCACCUUUCUGCUGGUGGUUGCCUCCCCACAUCUGGGUUGCAGAAGUGGACAUGAACCAUUUCCUUAAGCACAGCAGCUCACAGCUGGGUGCCGACCAAAGACCAAAGUGGAUGUUGUUCAACGCAUCCAGCUGUGAAUUACAGAAGCCAAAUGCUGGCCUGAACUUGCUGAGUCUGUGAAAAAUCUGAGGGUGGAAAAAAAUCUUACACUUUCUGUUGUAUCUUUCCUUACAGAUUAUAGAGGAUUUUCAUCUUUACCCACUAGGAUUUUUUGGUGGUGGGCACCAUUAUUCUCAAACCAGUAACUAAGUGGGAAUUGUGUUUUGUCUAGAGUUUGUACUGGAACAUGCGUCAUACUAACACAGAAUUUUAUAGGCUGGUGUUUAGGAGAACAGGGCAAAUGAGGGAGAAAGAUCAAAAAUGAAAUAGUGAAAAAUUGAACAUGCAAAUGAGAAGUUCAUGCCAGAAGCAGAGCUUUUCAAAACCGUACUUGAGAAACAGGGAAGCACACUGCACCCACAGCGUGCACAGUAGGCUAUAAAAAGAGCUGUGCAGCAUAAGUGGAAAUAAGGC
Molecule: long non-coding RNA, 928 nt
Organism: Cuculus canorus (common cuckoo)
Lineage: Eukaryota; Metazoa; Chordata; Aves; Cuculiformes; Cuculidae
Exons: 3
Source: RefSeq, a predicted model, not a curated record